GCACUGCUGAGGAGUCCCACAAUCGAACGAAACGCACGUCCAGUGC
This 46-nucleotide non-coding RNA is filed under the name Schistosoma margrebowiei. Lineage: Eukaryota; Metazoa; Platyhelminthes; Trematoda; Strigeidida; Schistosomatidae. The record is from RNAcentral.